CAGCCGCCGCGGUAAUACGGAGGAUCCAAGCGUUAUCCGGAAUCAUUGGGUUUAAAGGGUCCGUAGGCGGCUUUAUAAGUCAGUGGUGAAAUCUCCCCGCUCAACGGGGAAACGGCCAUUGAUACUGUAAGGCUUGAAUUAUUAGGAAGUAACUAGAAUAUGUAGUGUAGCGGUGAAAUGCUUAGAGAUUACAUGGAAUACCAAUUGCGAAGGCAGGUUACUACUAAUGGAUUGACGCUGAUGGACGAAAGCGUGGGUAGCGAACAGGAUUAGAUACCCUGGUAGUCCACGCCGUAAACGAUGGAUACUAGCUGUUGGGUGCAAACUCAGUGGCUAAGCGAAAGUGAUAAGUAUCCCACCUGGGGAGUACGUUCGCAAGAAUGAAACUUAAAGGAAUUGACGG
This 403-nucleotide ribosomal RNA is filed under the name uncultured bacterium. RNAcentral's name for it is "bacterial SSU rRNA". It matches the Rfam family "Bacterial small subunit ribosomal RNA", at positions 509 to 916 of the family's 1533-position model. The record is from RNAcentral.